CUUUUUUUUUUUUUUUUUUCCGAAAGGGAUUAGGAGGUAAUGGGCAUUAUUGUAUUGUUACCAAUAAGAUAACAGUUGUUACCUAUAUAAAAUGUAUAAUGGCUUCCUUGUUUUUUUUCUACUAAAGAUAAGAAUCCAUGCCUCCAACCCUUCCAGUCAUUGUGCAGCCUCCAUUUUGGUUUUUCUUCUAGUUAAAUCGUUUAAAAAUCUUACCACUUGAAAAUUAAUACGAUUCAACAAGGCAAAACUGAAGUAAGAAGAGCAUUCUUCAAUCUCCAUGAAAUAGAUGUGUUAGUCAUUCCACUUAAAUCAUGGAAUGAAUGUGGUUAUUUGAUGUAUUUAUAAAAAUUAAUUUGCCGUCUUCUUAUCUUUAGUUAACUCUGUCAAUGCACAAUAGAUUACUACGUUUUGCAUAGCAAUUGGCCAUUACUGAUUCGUUACAGCCACAACAGCUCCAUUUCCAUUACACACGACCACAAUAGUGACUUAAUCUAUACCGAAAAAGUUGGCCAUUAGGGGAAGAUGACUUAGAAACCUUAUCUACCCACGUUAAGCUCCCACAUAAAACAUUGGGAUCACACAAAUUCAUUUCAAAUUUUGCUAAAGUUCGAGUUCUACAGAAAAUGAUGAAAAGAACUUCAACUGUUAAAAAACAAAAUCAUUCCCAAAAACCUUAGUACUUGUCACACAACAAUCAUACAAUCACUAUAGUUUGCCACUGAAAACCAGAGACAGGCAUUGUAAGUUACCUUCAAAACCUUCCUGUCCUCUGG
Molecule: unclassified non-coding RNA, 773 nt
Filed under: Hevea brasiliensis (rubber tree)
Lineage: Eukaryota; Viridiplantae; Streptophyta; Magnoliopsida; Malpighiales; Euphorbiaceae
Source: RNAcentral